This 390-nucleotide unclassified non-coding RNA is filed under the name soil metagenome. RNAcentral's name for it is "partial contains 5.8S ribosomal RNA, internal transcribed spacer 2, and large subunit ribosomal RNA". The stretch from base 1 to 122 matches the Rfam family "5.8S ribosomal RNA", at positions 35 to 154 of the family's 154-position model. The record is from RNAcentral.
GAUGAAGAACGCAGCGAAAUGCGAUACUUGGUGUGAAUUGCAGAAUCCCGUGAACCAUCGAGUCUUUGAACGCAAGUUGCGCCCGAAGCCACUAGGCCGAGGGCACGCCUGCCUGGGCGUCACACGCCGUUGCCCCCCCAUCUACUCCUUCGGGAUUGCGGGGGGGCGGAUGAUGGCCUCCCGUGCGCCUAGCCGCGCGGUUGGCAUAAAUACCAAGUCCUCGGCGACGCACGCCACGACAAUCGGUGGUUGCGAAACCUCGGUUGCCCGUCGUGUGCGUUCGUCGCGCAUCGAGGGCUCGAAAAAAUGCUCGGCUCCGGCUGGGCUUUCAACGCGACCCCAGGUCAGGCGGGGUUACCCGCUGAAUUUAAGCAUAUCAAUAAGCGGAGG